CCUCCUAUGUUUAAGUUGGUAGAGCGCAUGACUAGUAAUCAUGAGCUUCGUGGUUCGAAUCCGCGCGGGAGUA
This 73-nucleotide transfer RNA is filed under the name Aspergillus carbonarius ITEM 5010. It matches the Rfam family "tRNA". From Rfam's summary of the family: Transfer RNA (tRNA) molecules are approximately 80 nucleotides in length. Their secondary structure includes four short double-helical elements and three loops (D, anti-codon, and T loops). Further hydrogen bonds mediate the characteristic L-shaped molecular structure. tRNAs have two regions of fundamental functional importance: the anti-codon, which is responsible for specific mRNA codon recognition, and the 3' end, to which the tRNAs corresponding amino acid is attached (by aminoacyl-tRNA synthetases). tRNAs cope with the degeneracy of the genetic code in two manners: having more than one tRNA (with a specific anti-codon) for a particular amino acid; and 'wobble' base-pairing, i.e. permitting non-standard base-pairing at the 3rd anti-codon position. The record is from Rfam by way of RNAcentral. Lineage: Eukaryota; Fungi; Ascomycota; Eurotiomycetes; Eurotiales; Aspergillaceae.